RNAcentral lists this long non-coding RNA (733 nucleotides) under Fukomys damarensis (Damara mole-rat). RNAcentral describes it as "lncRNA (ENSFDAG00000023673.1)". Lineage: Eukaryota; Metazoa; Chordata; Mammalia; Rodentia; Bathyergidae. The record is from RNAcentral.
UUCAGGCUCACUCCAAGACUCUCUCCUGGAUCUUGGUGUGCUAUUUGCUAUCUCUGGCGAGGUGGGUGGACAGCAUCGCCGGGAGGUCGCGUGGGGGCGACGCUUCAAAGUGCCGCCCCGGACCCAGGCUGCUGUGCGCGCGAAGGUGCUGAGCUGCUGCACCGGAAUCUGCCGGUGUGGACGUGGGGAAUAAGGAGCUCACUGGAAAUUAAACCGCCCCUGGAACCGAGGCAGGCCUUCCUUUGCAGUUUGCUCCAGGAGUUGACAACUUCAGCAGAUUCGCAAGUUGGAGAGAAGAAAGGAAAAAAGGAUAGGAUAUCUCUGAAGGCCUGGAAGGCAAACAGUGAUGAGAGAACAUCAGUAAACCUCAACGGUAUCACUAUGACAUCUGGAAUUUUCUAGCAGAUAUUGGUCUAUGAUUUGGAAGUGACAAAAGAGACCAGAAUUAAGGAUUUAGAUUUGGAAAACUUCAGAGUAUGUGUGUGACCAGCAUGUUAUAAAAUGGAUAAUAUCACUCAAAAAGAAGAGUAUUGGGCUGAGGACAGAACCCUGGAAUGUGAAUCAAAGGAAAAGCAAGAGGAAAUGAUCACAGAACAGAAGAACACAUGAGUAGUAGAAAAUCUUAUUGAGCACAAAAUUUCAAGGGAUGAGAGAUAAAGUCAAAUGCAGCAGAAAAUUAUGAGAGAGAAGAACUCCAGUGUUCACAUGUAGGUGGUUUCAUGGGGAUGGUGGA